AGCAGCCGCGGUAAUUCCAGCUCCAAUAGCGUAUAUUAAAGUUGUUGCAGUUAAAAAGCUCGUAGUUGAAUUUCGGGGUCAGUAGGUUGGUCGUGCCACUGGUAUGUACUGGUCUCACUGAUUCCUCCUUCCUGAUGAACCGUAAUGCCAUUAAUUUGGUGUUGCAGGGAAUCUGGACUGUUACUUUGAAAAAAUUAGAGUGUUUAAAGCAGGCUAACGCUUGAAUACAUUAGCAUGGAAUAAUGAAAUAGGACGAUCGAUCCUAUUUUGUUGGUUUCUAGGAUUGACGUAAUGAUUAAUAGGGAUAGUUGGGGGCAUUAGUAUUCAAUUGUCAGAGGUGAAAUUCUUGGAUUUAUUGAAGACUAACUACUGCGAAAGCAUUUGCCAAGGAUGUUUUCAUUAAUCAAGAACGAAAGUUAGGGGAUCGAAGACGAUCAGAUACCGUCGUAGUCUUAACCAUAAACUAUGCCGACUAGGGAUCGGAUGAUGUUAAUUUUUUAAUGA
Molecule: ribosomal RNA, 504 nt
Filed under: uncultured Glomus
Lineage: Eukaryota; Fungi; Glomeromycota; Glomeromycetes; Glomerales; Glomeraceae
Description: SSU rRNA
Rfam family: Eukaryotic small subunit ribosomal RNA
Source: RNAcentral